UAAUCAGUCAAACGGCGCCGCCGCCACCUCUCCACAUGAAUUCCACUUUAAAUUAACGAUUUUCGAUUUUCAAUAUUCUUCUUUCGCAUUUUCUGUCGGUGCAAGAGGAAUGGGAGAGGGACUCCGGCCUAGUAUUCCGUCACUCUCUCCCGAUCCAGAAGCAACGGGGACGUCGGGGAGAUUCCGGAGCGACUUGACAGAAUGGAUAGACGAGAAGCACAGUCUGUAUCUUGAAUCUCUAGAGGCAUAAUUUGUUGCCACGCUGCAGCGAUCCAUGCAUAUGGAUGCUUCGCACUCCAAAGCAAAUACCUGGGGAUCAUAUUCAGCUGAAGAACCUCGAUCCAAAACUUGCAAUUCUUCUGACCUGGUUCGGAAUCUGUGGUUCUACGAGAUGGCAGCUGGCAGAAGAUCAACUUUGAAAGAAAUGUUCCUGUGUUGGACAGCACUGCUGAUUCUCAGGUUGUUCUAAGAAGUCCAUGGAUACGCCAUUUUACAUCUUCAGGAAAGCGGCGCUGUAUCAUCAUGAUCUUUGAUUCUUUGGAGCAAAAUUUGGUUGGCAGCCCUAGAGAGGCUUCAGAUAAGAAUUUUGCGGAGGAAGACCAAGGAGAGAAGCUGUGCAUCCGCCAUCCAUGAUGAAAAGGUUGAAGAUAACUGCAGCUGCUGAUGCUGUAAGCAAUGAUCAAGUUGUGCCCACCAGAAAGUUUCAUGCAGCUGAUGCUUCCGACUGUCAAUAAUGCUCCCUCAGAGAGGGAAUGACAUGGACAUUGCGAACUGCAGUCAGAGCACCCCUUGAUAUCGUUGUCUGCCCACAAUCAUUAUUUUCUCUGGUGACUAUUUCUUAUAGAUGGUUGGUGCUGGGGUUAGUGAAGUUCGUUAGCUAUUGGAGAGAGAGACUUCGUCUUACCUAUUCUUUCUCAGAGCCUCCUUUCCUUCCCUGCUAAUUUCCUCAAUUUUGUGCACUGAAAAUUUAUUUCCUAGAGAAGUUCGAACUCCUAUUCGACCUAAAAAUCAGGAAAUGCAGUUGAUGCAUAUUGUAAAUGUAUUGAUUGGAAGGUUGAGAUCCUUAAUUCCUAGUAAGCAUGUGAACGAUGUAUAUUUUGGUAGUCCAUCAACGAAGUGAAUUCUGUUUUUCUUGGCAUUACAAAGACGAUCUAUGCUUUCAAAAAUCUCCCUCCAACUCGUAAUAUACAGCGUAUAUACUAUCUGCAAAGCUGAACGGAUUGCGCUGUGCUCACUCAGUUUUGUCAUUAUAUAUAUAUAUUCAAGGCGGUCGAAGUACAGUUUCUAUAAGCAGAGAUUGGUUUGCGUAAAGGGGAAUGAGCAUUACCCUUUUCAUUUCUCUCAUCAUUCUCCGUUCGUUCAUAGCUUGGCUAAAGUGCAUGGCUGCGGAGCUUUCUCGGAAAGGAGCUUAUGGAACGGUGUAUUUAGCAUAAUGAGGCUCUGUGCCUCCAAUCGACGUCAAAGCAUGUACCCUUCCAGCGUUUUCCGCUCUCCAGUUGGAGGAAAUUUUGGUCACCCGCUUGCGGGGCUGUCCUGGCAAUGUUGAGUGUGUUGGGAGCGACCUGAGUGUCGAGAUAAAAGCACCGGCUUGUGCCAUACCACGAAUCGUCCUUCAAACUACAAGUCACCGAUAAGGCGAUAACUGCAUCAAUUCAAGACAACAUUACAGAUACCAUAGACAUUUUUUCAGUCAAAAUGAUAUAGGUAUUGACAUGAAGAAACUUUACAAUUUCAUGCCGU
Molecule: RNA transcript, 1740 nt
Organism: Carya illinoinensis
Lineage: Eukaryota; Viridiplantae; Streptophyta; Magnoliopsida; Fagales; Juglandaceae
Exons: 6
Source: RefSeq, a predicted model, not a curated record